UACGUAGGGGGCUAGCGUUGUCCGGAAUCAUUGGGCGUAAAGCGCGUGUAGGCGGUCCGGUAAGUCCGCUGUGAAAGUCGGGGGCUCAACCCUUGAAUGCCGGCCGAUACUGCCGGGCUAGAGUCCGGAAGAGGUGAGUGGAAUUCCUGGUGUAGCGGUGAAAUGCGCAGAUAUCAGGAGGAACACCGAUGGCGAAGGCAGCUCACUGGGACGGUACUGACGCUGAGACGCGAAAGCGUGGGGAGCAAACAGG
RNAcentral lists this ribosomal RNA (253 nucleotides) under uncultured bacterium. RNAcentral's name for it is "partial 16S ribosomal RNA". It matches the Rfam family "Bacterial small subunit ribosomal RNA", at positions 524 to 776 of the family's 1533-position model. The record is from RNAcentral.